AGGACGAACGCUGGCGGCGCGCCUAACACAUGCAAGUCGAACGAGCGAGAGAGAGCUUGCUUCUCGAGCGAGUGGCGAACGGGUGAGUAACGCGUGAGGAACCUGCCUCAAAGAGGGGGACAACAGUUGGAAACGACUGCUAAUACCGCAUAAGCCCACGGGUCGGCAUCGACCAGAGGGAAAAGGAGCAAUCCGCUUUGAGAUGGCCUCGCGUCCGAUUAGCUAGUUGGUGGGGUAAUGGCCUACCAAGUCGACGAUCAGUAGCCGGACUGAGAGGUUGAACGGCCACAUUGGGACUGAGACACGGCCCAGACUCCUACGGGAGGCAGCAGUGGGGAAUAUUGCACAAUGGGCGCAAGCCUGAUGCAGCAACGCCGCGUGGAGGAAGACGGUUUUCGGAUUGUAAACUCCUGUUCUUAGUGAAGAAUAAUGACGGUAGCUAAGGAGCAAGCCACGGCUAACUACGUG
Molecule: ribosomal RNA, 468 nt
Filed under: uncultured bacterium
Lineage: Bacteria
Description: bacterial SSU rRNA
Rfam family: Bacterial small subunit ribosomal RNA
Source: RNAcentral